AUGUCCACACCUGAUGUUAUGUUCAAAGAAUGUCAGACGAUGGAAUUGGGUAAAGCCAUGGUGUGCCAGCGUCUCUACCAGCCACCCUCUGCGUUACCGAGCUCUGGUGUCUCUAGGCGCGGCCAUUGUGUCGCCGCUACACCUACCUACAUUUCCUCUCUGCUAGGCAUGCCUUAUCCGCUCCUCCAGCUUCUUUUCCUCACUACUAUGUUCUGCAUGCUGGGAGUCGUCACCUCUAUCAGCAGAAAGUAUGCCGCCUCUACCUCCAUGCCCAGCUUGUCCUCACUGUUCUGUUGGCCAGAUUGA
This 306-nucleotide ribosomal RNA is filed under the name Triticum aestivum (bread wheat). RNAcentral describes it as "partial small subunit ribosomal RNA". Lineage: Eukaryota; Viridiplantae; Streptophyta; Magnoliopsida; Poales; Poaceae. The record is from RNAcentral.